UCAUUGAUAUGGUUCUUGUGAGAUUGUAGC
This 30-nucleotide non-coding RNA is filed under the name Rattus norvegicus (Norway rat). Lineage: Eukaryota; Metazoa; Chordata; Mammalia; Rodentia; Muridae. The record is from RNAcentral.